GACGAACGCUGGCGGCGUGCCUAACACAUGCAAGUCGAACGGAAAGGCCCUGAGUUUGUGCGGUGCUCGAGGGGGGAACGCGGGAGUAACACGUGAGUAACCUGCCCUUGUCUUUGGGAGAACAUCAGGAAACUGGGGCUAAUAUAGGAUAGGAGAUCAUGCAGCAGGGUGGGGGUUGGAAAGUUUCGGCCUUUGGGGAUGGACUAGCGGGUUACGAGCUUGUUGGUGGGGUAGGUGCUUACCAAGGCUUUGACUGGUAGCCGGCCUGAGAGAGUGGCCGGCCACAUGGCGCCUGCGAUACGGCCCAGACGCCUACGGGAGGCAGCAGUGGGGAAUAUUGCCCAAUGGGCGGACGCCUGUUGCGACGGCCCCGCGUUCGGAAUGACGGCCUUCGGGUUGUAAACCGCUUUCGCCUGUGACGAAGCGUGAGUGACGGUAAUGGGUAAAGAAGCACCGGCUAACUACGUG
Molecule: ribosomal RNA, 468 nt
Filed under: uncultured bacterium
Lineage: Bacteria
Description: partial 16S ribosomal RNA
Rfam family: Bacterial small subunit ribosomal RNA
Source: RNAcentral